GAUGAAGAACGUAGCGAAAUGCGAUACUUGGUGUGAAUUGCAGAAUCCCGUGAACCAUCGAGUCUUUGAACGCAAGUUGCGCCCGAAGCCAUUAGGCCGAGGGCACGCCUGCCUGGGUGUCACACGUCGUUGCCCCCCCAUCUACUCCUUCGGGAUUGCGGGGGGCGGAUGAUGGCCUCCCGUGCGCCUCGUCGCGCGGUUGGCAUAAAUGCCAAGUCCUCGGCGACGCACGCCACGACAAUCGGUGGUUGCGAAACCUCGGUUGCCCGUCGUGUGCGGUCGUCGCGCAUCGAGGGCUCGAAAAAAUUGCCGGGCUCCGGCUCGGCUUUCAACGCGACCCCAGGUCAGGCGGGGUUACCCGCUGAGUUUAAGCAUAUCAAUAAGCGGAGGA
Molecule: unclassified non-coding RNA, 391 nt
Filed under: soil metagenome
Description: partial contains 5.8S ribosomal RNA, internal transcribed spacer 2, and large subunit ribosomal RNA
Rfam family: 5.8S ribosomal RNA (bases 1-122)
Source: RNAcentral